CCUGCCCUCAGGAUGUGUGGGGCUGACCCCAUCCAGGCAGUUCCAGAAGGUUCUGCCUUCUUCGCUGCCAUCUUCUGGUCCCGCAGGCUGGAACAGUCACAUCUCAAGCUGCACUCACCUCCCCCAAACAUCCAAUUAUACCAGGGAUCCCAGAGUUAAUAUUUUUGGUUUCAAAGCUUCAUUUUAUCUGAGCCUCUAUAAAUAAGAUUCUCAUGAAGUAUUUAUACACACUAACCCAGCUCAGAGAAAGAAAUAGAAGUAAUGGAUGAUUACAGAUGGCAAGGUGGCUGAAUCCUGGCGCAGGAGAUUGUGCAGCGUGAUCCCGAUGAGCUACCUGAUAGACAUGGCAAAACAAAAAUAUCCUUGAUUUCUGCUUGCAUGUUUUGCAGGACUUUUGAGCAAGUAGUGCCUGAAAUAAGAGUCCAUUUCACAGCUCAUCUUUCCUCUGAGAAGCCCUGGUGGAAACAAUCACAUUCCCCAGAAGAAGAUAGCAGCUUGGCUGUUGCUGCUCUUCUGUGUUUGUAUCAGAGGUGUGAAAUUGAAUGCCUGUGAGUUCUGCUCCAUGAGGAUCAAAGUCCUUUUAUCCAGAUGAGUGCACCAGGUUAUAUGACAGACCUUUAAGCUGAGGACCAGCCAGCUUGUAACUGGAGUGUGGCAGAGACUGGUACAUCUCAACUCCAACUAAUUCCAGUAUAAAGAUAGAUUUAAGACAAGUGCCAUCCAGCAAAUGGACAGCAAUGUGAAUUCCUUUGUAAAACAGUGGAUACAGUUCUCAGCUGCACACAGAGGUGAGUGGAGAAUGGAAUCGCUUCAGCUCCUCCAAAUUGGGAUCACUUUUCCACUCCUUAAAGAGAAAAGAUAAUGCAAUUGAAGUGACAUUGUAUUAAUGGUGGAUCACGUCAGCUAAUAAUUAGUCAAUACAUUACAUUGCCCCAUUUAGGUUUUCUUUUCCUAUUUAAGUAGCAGCACAGUUCAUUUCUUGUGUGUGUUAAAUCUUCUCUAGUACACGCUGUGAGCAAUGAAUUAAGUGUGAACAUCAGAACAGCAUCCUGGAACGGAAAGGAGGUUGUCAAAUUAAUUUCUGACAAGUGCCAGGAUGAGGAUCAUGGCAGUUUGCAUGUAAAAGCUGUACUGGAUGGCAAACUUCAUGGCCCAUCAAAUUCAAGGACCAAAAUGGAAAUGAACUUGUAAUUUUUUCAGUACAAUAAGUAUUAUUUUUACCUUACUUUCUACCUCCUUUGUUAUUUAAUAACCUAUUUGAAGAACAUUUCCCUGUACUUUUAUUACUUUAGAAAGUAUUUAGUUUUCUAUUCUAUCAUACGAAAUUCAGGUUUUACAACUAUAAAAUUCCAAAAUGUUUUACAAGUGGCCCUGAUCCUACAAAGACCUACCCAUCUGUUUAGCUGAAUAAUAAUAAUCAUUUAUAUUCCAAUAGUGCCCUUUAUCUUGCUUGGUCUGUACACAGAACCAUCUGCUUCAAAUUGACUGCCUUUCAGACUCAGCUCUCCAAGAGCCCUGACCUUGUAAUCUCAUCUAUGCCUUUGACCUUGCAGAGCUGCUCUGAAUCAAGGAUUAGGGUCUGCCACACACAAGGCAGCUUGUGAAAGCAGGGUCUAACAUUACAGAUUUGUAAUUGAAGUCAAUGAACUUUUUUCCUGAAUAUGACUUGAAUUUCUGAUUUGUUUUUCAGUAAGACAAAGCAAGAAAUGAAAUGUAGGCUCGUUUUCUCCAUGUGCCUUCUCAUCUGAAAGUCUCUUUUUGGCCUGCUAAAGCAUAAAGUAAAUGUACCUCUGGCUGUUAGACUGGGCUGUUUAUUCCACCCACUGAUUUUUCUCUCUUUUCCAAAGAGUAAAUGCAUUUUAUUUUUCAUUAUAUAAUGCUUAGAGAAACAAGUAAAGCUAUCACUAGAGAAGGGAGUACUUCCAGCAAGCAAGCAAGCAAGCAAGAUUGCCUACUGAGGCAUGUGUUUGAUGGUAAAUGAAUUGUAUUUGUGAACUGCCUCCUAUUUACUGUAAGGCUUUCAAUAGUAAUCUUUCUUGAGCUAAAUUACAUUAUCACAAUAAAGUUAAAAGGAACAUGAUUUCUUCAGCCAAACCUACUUAGUCAUCAAGAACCCCAGCUGCUUUGAAGUGCUCCUGCAGUCCUAACUAAUAGAAGAGACUUGCCAACGUGUGGCCUUGCCUUUCACAGAAACAUUAUUGGUGAGGUGUGGAGCAUGUGGAGCACGCACAUGGAAUAUCAAUGCAAGAAGUCUGCAUGGUCUUUCCAAUUUGAGAAUGGCUCUUCUAUGUCUUCAGGCCUCUUCACUCUAACACUGUGAAGCUUUGGAGGAUCCAAAAUUAUUUCCUUACUCUCUGUAUACGUGUCUUACAUUCCUUUUCUUAGCCUUAAAUUCUUGCCAAUUUGUUUGUCUCAUACAUUCAGUGACUGCUGUUCUCAGAAGAGUCACUUAAACCUUUUAACAACAGAACCUGAUUUCUUCUUUGAUAUCAGAGCCUACAAGAAAAAGAAACAUAAAACUCUUCCAAACUAUUAUAUUUCGAGUGCAAAUUAUGCUAUCAUCUAAAAUUCUGAAUGACCACCCCAUACGCUUCACAUUUUGGUCCUGCUUUGAGCACAGGGUUUGGAUAGGGUGACUUCUAGAGUUCUUUCCAAAGUAGAGUAUUGGAAAAUAUGGACUGUGAUUCUCAUCUAUCAGAUGAAGUUUUUGAAGCUGUAGCAGGCCGUUUGACUCUGCAGAGAUGCAAGAAUUUAGGGAUGAAUAUUUAACUGCAGUUUUUUUUUGUACUGUCCUGGUUGCAGUCAUGCUUUAAAUUAACAAGUUAUCUUAAUUGUUGUUUUGGCAUAUUUUCUGUAAUAAAUUAUUUUCUUUUAAUUUAUAGCUCCUUUAGUGUUUCUCUGUAGCACUUUUUGCAAGCUAAUAGGAUCUCUUGUCUGAAAAGUUAGACAAUAGAAGAGAUAUUAUAAAUUGUAAUUGUAUGUAAUUGCUGCUUUGUAAGCAUUUAUGGGGGAAAGAAAAGAUUCCUUAUUCUUUCAAAUUCGAGUUUCUCUGUACAAAUGUUUGUAAAUCUGUCUCUUUGUUUUCUAAUUAUUUGGGUUCGUUUGUCCUAAUGAAGAUCUGAGAAUGUUUGCAGGCCUUUCUGUGUACCAUACACAGGGUGUCAACAUCAGGAGCUGCUCAGAAUCGCUCCCAUGACAUCACUGUGUCUUCCUGCCUCCUGAUGAAACUUGAGGAAAACUGAAAUUGUUUAAUGCUGUGAGGCAGUUGGUGACUUUCAUGCUUUUAAAAUGUAGUCUUUAUGUGUGCAGUUUUCUGUUGUUUUCCAGAUAGGUAUUGCCUAUAAUUCUGCCCUUAGAAACAUUGAGGAAAGUGGCAUGGUUAGUUUUUCCUAUCCAAAAUUUGACAAGUGUUCCAAAUGAAGGGGAAGUCGUAAUUGCCCACCUUCAACAUUGGCUUUUUCAGGGCACGAACAAUGCUUACUUAAGUUCUGAGUCGUUUGCAAGAGGUAAAAAAAUAAAAGAGAAUGCCUGAAAGUGAGUGGAGUGCAUCUGUAGUGUUUUGCAUUUUAUGUUGCUACAACCUAAAACAAUCAGAAUAUUAAGAGUUACCUCUUUGGGACAGUGACAAUUAUUUUACAGAGGUGCAAAAGACACGAGGAAUGGAAAAUACGCUCUCCUAUUUCAAGAUGCUGUUUCAAAUGAUCCUCAGUGGCAGAGGACUGCCUUGCUAUGAUCAAAAAUUAUUUAAGGUAUGGAUGGCAUAGUAAAGAAAAAUAGCUGGCAAAGUGUGGCAAAUAAUCUCAGUUUGUGACAAUCU
Non-coding RNA from Meleagris gallopavo (turkey), 3817 nucleotides. Lineage: Eukaryota; Metazoa; Chordata; Aves; Galliformes; Phasianidae. The record is from RefSeq and is a predicted model, not a curated record.